AUGGCGAACCUGUUCCUGAAGCAGGCGAAGCACUACGCGGCGGCGCGGCCCGACUACCCGGCGGAGCUCUUCCAGUUCAUCGCGUCCAAGACGGCGCGCCACGACCUCGCGUGGGACGUCGGCACCGGCAGCGGCCAGGCCGCGGUCUCGCUGGCGAAGCUGUACAAGAAGGUGGUGGGCACGGACACGAGCGCGCAGCAGCUGGCCUACGCGCGGGCGCUCCCCAACGUGCGCUACGCCCACACCCCGGCGGACCUGCCGCUCGAGGGCAUCCACGCGGCCGUCGCGCCGCCGGGCACCGUCGACGUGGUCACCGUGGCGCAGGCCUUCCACUGGCUCGACCUGCCGCGCUUCUACGCGCAGACCCGCUCCCUCCUGCGCGCGCACGGCGUCCUCGCCGCAUGGUGCUACACGGAGCCCCGCGUGGGCGCCGCCGUCGACGCCGUCUUCUGGCGCCUCUACGACGGCUCCCAGCCCCACUGGGCUCCCAACCGGAAGAUGGUCGACGACGAGUACCGCAGCGCCUACUUCCCCUUCGACCCCGUCGACGGCGAGACCCACACUGGCCCCUUCGAGUUCUCCACCGAGCGCCGCAUGGACCUCGACGACUACUUCACCUACAUCAAGUCCUGGUCCGCGUACCAGACCGCCAAGGACAAUGGCGUCGAGCUGCUCGACGACGAGACUGUGCGGGAGUUCGCCGACGCGUGGGGCGGCGACCGCCAGGAGGUCAAGACGGUGACGUACCCCAUCUUCCUCAGGAUCGGCAAGGUGAGGCCUUGA
RNAcentral lists this ribosomal RNA (783 nucleotides) under Triticum aestivum (bread wheat). Its description in RNAcentral is "partial small subunit ribosomal RNA". The record is from RNAcentral. Lineage: Eukaryota; Viridiplantae; Streptophyta; Magnoliopsida; Poales; Poaceae.